Molecule: ribosomal RNA, 398 nt
Filed under: uncultured bacterium
Lineage: Bacteria
Description: bacterial SSU rRNA
Rfam family: Bacterial small subunit ribosomal RNA
Source: RNAcentral
ACUCCUACGGGAGGCAGCAGUGGGGAAUAUUGCACAAUGGGCGCAAGCCUGAUGCAGCAACGCCGUGUGAGUGAAGAAGGUUUUCGGAUCGUAAAACUCUGUCCUAAGGGAAGAAACAAAUGACGGUACCUUAGGAGGAAGCCCCGGCUAACUACGUGCCAGCAGCCGCGGUAAUACGUAGGGGGCAAGCGUUAUCCGGAAUCACUGGGCGUAAAGGGUGCGUAGGCGGCUUAGCAAGCCAGGGGUGAAAGGCAUUGGCUCAACCAAUGUAAGCCUUUGGAACUGUUAGGCUUGAGUGCAGGAGAGGUAAGUGGAAUUCCUAGUGUAGAGGUGAAAUUCGUAGAUAUUAGGAGGAACACCAGUGGCGAAGGCGACUUACUGGACUGUAACUGACGCUG